UAUCAGCCUUAGGUCUUAAUAAAAGUAUUGAAGAAUUUAUAAUCGGAAACGCAGAUAGCAUUUUUCAGUAGUGCACUGCAUAAACCUCCACAAAAACCUAAAAGGUAAAGUACUCUGUUUCCCUUAUCCUCUCUUUCCCAUCAGCCGCCGCAAGCUUUCCAUCCUCACGGUGGUCCGCUCCUUCAUCCGGCGACGUCCUACCGCCUCCCCUUGCUCGUCAUUGCAAAACCUCACUCACUUACGUUGGCUCGUCCGUACCCCCGGCCACUAUCUACCUCCACUUUAACGUCGUUCUCUGUUCUACACUUUGUUUACUUCUCUCUUUCCCUCUUCCUUCCGUCAUCUUCGUUGCUCGUUCUUCCGUCUUUGCUGCUUUUUACUCCCUUCACCGGACUCUCUCUCGUUUUAUUUUAUCUUUGUUUAUCUUUUAUUCGUUUCGGUACUAAUUUACUCUUUUUUUUUCAGAAGUUUGCUUCGAAUUUGAGCAAAUUUAAGGUAUUUAUUCCUAUGUUUCUCUAACUAGUUUUCUUAAAAAAACAUCUCGAAUUGUUUAAAAUUUUUUAUGGUUAUAUUUUUCCCUAACUGGUCAUGGAUAAGAAACUUUCAUCUUCUUCCAACAGAUUGUCAUCUUUAGCAUCCAUUUCUUCAUCUUCAUUUCUUAGUAGACGAAAUGUUGUUCUUAGAAGAUCUCGUCUGCCCAAGAUUUCUGCAGCAAAAGAGCUACAUUUCAAUAAGGAUGGGUCAGCCAUAAAGAAAUUACAA
This 762-nucleotide long non-coding RNA is filed under the name Gossypium barbadense (sea-island cotton). RNAcentral's name for it is "long non-coding RNA (GBAR_LNC021114)". Lineage: Eukaryota; Viridiplantae; Streptophyta; Magnoliopsida; Malvales; Malvaceae. The record is from RNAcentral.